CUCCUUUACCUAUAAGCAACUGAAAAGCAACUUGAUGUGAGAACCUGAAUAGUUCUUUCCUUGGGUAUGUCCUUAGAUUUUGAUGGCGACGGUGGUAUGCAUUGGUCCAUAAGGUUGUCUCUCAAGAACCUUUCAAGUUGAGUAUAUAUUGGCUUAGUGGUGAGAAAAAUGGAUAUGUGGGUUUAUUGAAGAAGUAGAUUGAUUCAGGGUAUUACAGGAUGAGUGGAUGCUUCUCAAUUGGGAAACAUAUAAGCAACGACUCUCUCAACUCGUUCUCACAUAGAGUUGAUGUGGACAAUAGGUGAACAAGUAUGAAAUGGUAGAAGUGCUUCAAGAUUUUGAGGAAGAGUGAGCUGUGACGGUUGUGCCGCUUGUUAAACUCA
Molecule: long non-coding RNA, 383 nt
Organism: Arabidopsis thaliana (thale cress)
Lineage: Eukaryota; Viridiplantae; Streptophyta; Magnoliopsida; Brassicales; Brassicaceae
Product: other RNA
Exons: 2
Source: RefSeq